CACGUAGGGUGCGAGCGUUGUCCGGAAUUAUUGGGCGUAAAGAGCUCGUAGGCGGUGUGUCGCGUCGGCCGUGAAAACCUGCAGCUUAACUGUGGGCUUGCGGUCGAUACGGGCAUCACUGGAGUUCGGCAGGGGAGACUGGAAUUCCUGGUGUAGCGGUGAAAUGCGCAGAUAUCAGGAGGAACACCGGUGGCGAAGGCGGCAUCCUGGACCGAGAUUGACGCAGAUGCGCGAAAGCCAGGGGAGCAAACGGG
RNAcentral lists this ribosomal RNA (254 nucleotides) under uncultured bacterium. RNAcentral describes it as "partial 16S ribosomal RNA". It matches the Rfam family "Bacterial small subunit ribosomal RNA", at positions 524 to 776 of the family's 1533-position model. The record is from RNAcentral.